Molecule: transfer RNA, 65 nt
Filed under: pig gut metagenome
Rfam family: tRNA
About the family: Transfer RNA (tRNA) molecules are approximately 80 nucleotides in length.
Source: RNAcentral
GCGAAUAGUUUAGUGGUAAAACUCUGAUCUCCAAAAUCAUAGAUGUGGGUUCGAUUCCUACUUCG